UACGUAGGGCGCAAGCGUUAUCCGGAAUUAUUGGGCGUAAAGAGCUCGUAGGCGGUUUGUCGCGUCUGCCGUGAAAGUCCGGGGCUCAACUCCGGAUCUGCGGUGGGUACGGGCAGACUAGAGUGAUGUAGGGGAGACUGGAAUUCCUGGUGUAGCGGUGAAAUGCGCAGAUAUCAGGAAGAACACCGAUGGCGAAGGCAGGUCUCUGGGCAUUAACUGACGCUGAGGAGCGAAAGCCAGGGGAGCAAACGGG
This 253-nucleotide ribosomal RNA is filed under the name uncultured bacterium. RNAcentral describes it as "partial 16S ribosomal RNA". It matches the Rfam family "Bacterial small subunit ribosomal RNA", at positions 524 to 776 of the family's 1533-position model. The record is from RNAcentral.